GACGAACGCUGGCGGCGUGCUUAACACAUGCAAGUCGAACGGAAAGGCCCUGCUUUUGUGGGGUGCUCGAGUGGCGAACGGGUGAGUAACACGUGAGUAACCUGCCCUUGACUUUGGGAUAACUUCAGGAAACUGGGGCUAAUACCGGAUAGGAGCUCCUGCUGCAUGGUGGGGGUUGGAAAGUUUCGGCGGUUGGGGAUGGACUCGCGGCUUAUCAGCUUGUUGGUGGGGUAGUGGCUUACCAAGGCUUUGACGGGUAGCCGGCCUGAGAGGGUGACCGGCCACAUUGGGACUGAGAUACGGCCCAGACUCCUACGGGAGGCAGCAGUGGGGAGUAUUGCACAAUGGGCGGAAGCGUGAUGCAGCAACGCCGCGUGCGGGAUGACGGCCUUCGGGUUGUAAACCGCUUUCGCCUGUGACGAAGCGUGAGUGACGGUAAUGGGUAAAGAAGCACCGGCUAACUACGUG
This 468-nucleotide ribosomal RNA is filed under the name uncultured bacterium. Its description in RNAcentral is "partial 16S ribosomal RNA". It matches the Rfam family "Bacterial small subunit ribosomal RNA", at positions 28 to 507 of the family's 1533-position model. The record is from RNAcentral.